RNAcentral lists this ribosomal RNA (301 nucleotides) under uncultured bacterium. Its description in RNAcentral is "partial 16S ribosomal RNA". It matches the Rfam family "Bacterial small subunit ribosomal RNA", at positions 509 to 807 of the family's 1533-position model. The record is from RNAcentral.
CAGCAGCCGCGGGAAUACGUAGGUGGCAAGCGUUGUCCGGAAUUAUUGGGCGUAAAGGGCUCGCAGGCGGUUUCUUAAGUCUGAUGUGAAAGCCCCCGGCUCAACCGGGGAGGGUCAUUGGAAACUGGGAAACUUGAGUGCAGAAGAGGAGAGUGGAACUCCACGUGUAGCGGUGAAAUGCGUAGAGAUGUGGAGGAACACCAGUGGCGAAGGCGACUCUCUGGUCUGUAACUGACGCUGAGGAGCGAAAGCGUGGGGAGCGAACAGGAUUAGAUACCCCGGUAGUCCCUGUCUCUUAUAC